UAGGGAAUCUUCGGCAAUGGACGGAAGUCUGACCGAGCAACGCCGCGUGAGUGAAGAAGGUUUUCGGAUCGUAAAGCUCUGUUGUAAGAGAAGAACGAGUGUGAGAGUGGAAAGUUCACACUGUGACGGUAUCUUACCAGAAAGGGACGGCUAACUACGUGCCAGCAGCCGCGGUAAUACGUAGGUCCCGAGCGUUGUCCGGAUUUAUUGGGCGUAAAGCGAGCGCAGGCGGUUAGAUAAGUCUGAAGUUAAAGGCUGUGGCUUAACCAUAGUACGCUUUGGAAACUGUUUAACUUGAGUGCAAGAGGGGAGAGUGGAAUUCCAUGUGUAGCGGUGAAAUGCGUAGAUAUAUGGAGGAACACCGGUGGCGAAAGCGGCUCUCUGGCUUGUAACUGACGCUGAGGCUCGAAAGCGUGGGGAGCAAACAGGAUUAGAUACCCUGGUAGUCCACGCCGUAAACGAUGAGUGCUAGGUGUUAGACCCUUUCCGGGGUUUAGUGCCGCAGCUAACGCAUUAAGCACUCCGCCUGGGGAGUACNACCGCAAGGNUG
This 550-nucleotide ribosomal RNA is filed under the name uncultured bacterium. RNAcentral describes it as "bacterial SSU rRNA". It matches the Rfam family "Bacterial small subunit ribosomal RNA", at positions 355 to 896 of the family's 1533-position model. The record is from RNAcentral.